Molecule: small RNA, 674 nt
Filed under: Pan troglodytes (chimpanzee)
Lineage: Eukaryota; Metazoa; Chordata; Mammalia; Primates; Hominidae
Description: processed transcript
Source: RNAcentral
GGUGGCAGAGCAGUUUACACUGAUGGAUGCGGAACUGUUCAAGAAGGUGGUGCCCUACCACUGCCUGGGCUCCAUCUGGUCCCAGCGGGACAAGAAGGGCAAGGAGCACCUGGCGCCCACCAUCCGCGCCACUGUCACCCAGUUCAACAGUGUGGCCAACUGUGUCAUCACCACCUGCCUCGGAAACCGAAGCACGAAAGCCCCAGACAGGGCCAGGGUGGUGGAGCACUGGAUCGAGGUGGCCAGGGAGUGCCGGAUCCUCAAGAACUUCUCGUCACUGUAUGCCAUCCUCUCUGCCCUGCAGAGCAACUCCAUCCACCGUCUGAAGAAGACGUGGGAAGACGUUUCCAGGGACAGUUUCCGGAUCUUUCAGAAGCUGUCAGAGAUCUUCUCAGAUGAGAACAACUACUCAUUGAGCCGGGAGCUGCUCAUCAAGGCGUGAGCCACCGCACCAUGCAGCAGGCGGAGUUCUCAUCCGCACUUUCCAGAGGGGGAGGCAGGCUCAGGAAGGCCAGGCCACUGGCCCAGGACCCCACACUAGAGGGCACCUCCAAGUUUGCCACCCUGGAGAUGAACCCCAAGAGAGCCCAGAAACGGCCGAAGGAGACGGGCAUCAUCCAGGGCACCGUUCCCUACCUGGGCACGUUCCUCACCGACCUGGUGAUGCUGGACAC